This 253-nucleotide ribosomal RNA is filed under the name uncultured bacterium. Its description in RNAcentral is "partial 16S ribosomal RNA". It matches the Rfam family "Bacterial small subunit ribosomal RNA", at positions 524 to 776 of the family's 1533-position model. The record is from RNAcentral.
UACGAAGGGGGCUAGCGUUGCUCGGAAUCACUGGGCGUAAAGCGCACGUAGGCGGAUUUCUAAGUCAGGGGUGAAAUCCUGGAGCUCAACUCCAGAACUGCCUUUGAUACUGGGAAUCUCGAGUCCGGGAGAGGUGAGUGGAACUGCGAGUGUAGAGGUGAAAUUCGUAGAUAUUCGCAAGAACACCAGUGGCGAAGGCGGCUCACUGGCCCGGUACUGACGCUGAGGGGCGAAAGCGUGGGGAGCGAACGGG